This 23-nucleotide non-coding RNA is filed under the name Arabidopsis thaliana (thale cress). The record is from RNAcentral. Lineage: Eukaryota; Viridiplantae; Streptophyta; Magnoliopsida; Brassicales; Brassicaceae.
GCCCAAAGAGAGCCCUCCGACGA